ACGGAGGAUCCAAGCGUUAUCCGGAUUUAUUGGGUUUAAAGGGUGCGUAGGCGGCUUUUUAAGUCAGGGGUGAAAGACGGUAGCUCAACUAUCGCAGUGCCCUUGAUACUGAAGAGCUUGAAUGGACUAGAGGUAGGCGGAAUGUGACAAGUAGCGGUGAAAUGCAUAGAUAUGUCACAGAACACCGAUUGCGAAGGCAGCUUACUAUGGUUUAAUUGACGCUGAGGCACGAAAGCGUGGGGAUCAAACAGG
This 252-nucleotide ribosomal RNA is filed under the name uncultured bacterium. Its description in RNAcentral is "partial 16S ribosomal RNA". It matches the Rfam family "Bacterial small subunit ribosomal RNA", at positions 525 to 776 of the family's 1533-position model. The record is from RNAcentral.